This 598-nucleotide ribosomal RNA is filed under the name uncultured bacterium. Its description in RNAcentral is "bacterial SSU rRNA". It matches the Rfam family "Bacterial small subunit ribosomal RNA", at positions 202 to 801 of the family's 1533-position model. The record is from RNAcentral.
UAAAGAAUUUCGGUAUGGGAUGGGGAUGCGUUCCAUUAGUUAGUUGGCGGGGUAACGGCCCACCAAGACAACGAUGGAUAGGGGUUCUGAGAGGAAGGUCCCCCACAUUGGAACUGAGACACGGUCCAAACUCCUACGGGAGGCAGCAGUGAGGAAUAUUGGUCAAUGGACGAGAGUCUGAACCAGCCAAGUAGCGUGAAGGAUGACUGCCCUACGGGUUGUAAACUUCUUUUAUAUGGGAAUAAAAUGUUCCACGUGUGGGAUUUUGUAUGUACCAUAUGAAUAAGGAUCGGCUAACUCCGUGCCAGCAGCCGCGGUAAUACGGAGGAUCCGAGCGUUAUCCGGAUUUAUUGGGUUUAAAGGGAGCGUAGGUGGAUUGUUAAGUCAGUUGUGAAAGUUUGCGGCUCAACCGUAAAAUUGCAGUUGAAACUGGCAGUCUUGAGUACAGUAGAGGUGGGCGGAAUUCGUGGUGUAGCGGUGAAAUGCUUAGAUAUCACGAAGAACUCCGAUUGCGAAGGCAGCUCACUGGACUGCAACUGACACUGAGGCUCGAAAGUGUGGGUAUCAAACAGGAUUAGAUACCCUGGUAGUCCACACA